This 654-nucleotide ribosomal RNA is filed under the name uncultured bacterium. RNAcentral describes it as "bacterial SSU rRNA". It matches the Rfam family "Bacterial small subunit ribosomal RNA", at positions 202 to 842 of the family's 1533-position model. The record is from RNAcentral.
AAAAGGCGGCGUAAGCUGUCGCUAAAGGAUGGACCCGCGGUGCAUUAGCUAGUUGGUAAGGUAACGGCUUACCAAGGCGACGAUGCAUAGCCGAGUUGAGAGACUGAUCGGCCACAUUGGGACUGAGACACGGCCCAAACUCCUACGGGAGGCAGCAGUAGGGAAUCUUCCACAAUGGGCGAAAGCCUGAUGGAGCAACGCCGCGUGAGUGAAGAAGGUUUUCGGAUCGUAAAGCUCUGUUGUUGGUGAAGAAGGAUAGAGGUAGUAACUGGCCCCUAUUCGACGGUAAUCAACCAGAAAGUCACGGCUAACUACGUGCCAGCAGCCGCGGUAAUACGUAGGUGGCAAGCGUUGUCCGGACUUAUUGGGCGUAAAGCGAGCGCAGGCGGAAAGAUAAGUCUGAUGUGAAAGCCCCCGGCUUAACCGAGGAAUUGCAUCGGAAACUGUGUUUCUUGAGUGCAGAAGAGGAGAGUGGAACUCCAUGUGUAGCGGUGGAAUGCGUAGAUAUAUGGAAGAACACCAGUGGCGAAGGCGGCUCUCUGGUCUGUAACUGACGCUGAGGCUCGAAAGCAUGGGUAGCGAACAGGAUUAGAUACCCUGGUAGUCCAUGCCGUAAACGAUGAGUGCUAAGUGUUGGGAGGUUUCCGCCUCUCA